CCUACGGGCGGCAGCAGUGAGGAAUAUUGGUCAAUGGACGCGAGUCUGAACCAGCCAAGUAGCGUGAAGGAUGACUGCCCUAUGGGUUGUAAACUUCUUUUAUAUGGGAAUAAAAUGUUCCACGUAUAGGAUUUUGUAUGUACCAUAUGAAUAAGGAUCGGCUAACUCCGUGCCAGCAGCCGCGGUAAUACGGAGGAUCCGAGCGUUAUCCGGAUUUAUUGGGUUUAAAGGGAGCGUAGGUGGAUUGUUAAGUCAGUUGUGAAAGUUUGCGGCUCAACCGUAAAAUUGCAGUUGAAACUGGCAGUCUUGAGUACAGUAGAGGUGGGCGGAAUUCGUGGUGUAGCGGUGAAAUGCUUAGAUAUCACGAAGAACUCCGAUUGCGAAGGCAGUUCACUGGACUGCAACUGACACUGAGGCUCGAAAGUGUGGGUAUCAAACAGGAUUAGAUACCCCUGUAGUC
This 460-nucleotide ribosomal RNA is filed under the name uncultured bacterium. RNAcentral describes it as "partial 16S ribosomal RNA". It matches the Rfam family "Bacterial small subunit ribosomal RNA", at positions 338 to 795 of the family's 1533-position model. The record is from RNAcentral.